AUUGAACGCUGGCGGCAUGCUUUACACAUGCAAGUCGAACGGUAACACGCCUUCGGUUGCUGACGAGUGGCUAACGGGUGAAUAAUUCAUCGGAACGUGCCCAGCGGUGGGGGAUAACGCAGCCAAAGCUGUGCUAAUACCGCAUUUUAUCUGAGUAUGAAAGCGAGGGCCCUGGCAGCAAUGUUUGACCUCUCGCCUUUGGUGCGUCCGAUGUCAGAUUAGGGAGUUGGUGGGGUAAAGGCCUACCGCGCCGACGAUCUGUAGCUGGUCUGAGAGGACGACCAGCCACACUGGGACUGAGACACGGCCCAAGCUCCUACGGGAGGCAGCAGUGGGGAAUUUUGAAGAAAGGGCGCGAGACUGAUCCAGCAAGGCCGCGUGCGGGAAGAAGGCAUUCGGGUUGUAAACCGAUUUUGUACGGAACGAAAAGGGUUUGGCGAAUACAAGGAGAUGAUGACGGUACCAAAAGAAUAAGCAACGGCUAACUACGUG
RNAcentral lists this ribosomal RNA (492 nucleotides) under uncultured bacterium. Its description in RNAcentral is "partial 16S ribosomal RNA". It matches the Rfam family "Bacterial small subunit ribosomal RNA", at positions 30 to 507 of the family's 1533-position model. The record is from RNAcentral.